AAAUGCAAGUUGCAUCCCCAAAUGCGAGGCUGGCCUGACCAAAAAGAGCCGCUCGGCGCCCGGAAGAGGCGAGACUCGCGCUCGGGUUCUCAAUCCUUCUCUUUUCUCCUUUCUUUUUCCCUUUCUCCUCUCCGGUUCCUGAUUUAGCUGGGAGCUGUUUAUUUAUGGCUGCAAAUGUGUGUGUGCAAGAGAGAGAGGGAAUUGAUCUUUGCCUGGACUUAAAGAUGGAGCCGAAGAAACUGGAGGGAAUUUGGGCUUGUGCGUCUGGCCCAGACCCUGGGCGCCUAGGGGGGCCGUUGGGCGCCGAGCCCGAGGUCUAUCCUCCCCGCACCUCUCACCUCGCGACCUUGCAGGAAUCCGCGGGCCCGGAUGCUGCCCAGCUGACCCUCCUGCCCCGGGCCCGGCUGCAGAGAAAGUCUUCGGGCAGGAGGCCAUCCUGUCCCUGUCUUUAAAAUGAGCACAGUAAAAGGGGGCAAAUCCUCGAACGCGAACCUGAUCUCAUGUCACAGAAGCAACUUGCCAUGAAAUCCGCUAAUGCGCUGCGACUCGCCCACCAGGCAUCUGGGGAAAAGACGCCCUGACUCAAGGGUGU
RNAcentral lists this long non-coding RNA (592 nucleotides) under Pongo abelii (Sumatran orangutan). RNAcentral's name for it is "lincRNA". Lineage: Eukaryota; Metazoa; Chordata; Mammalia; Primates; Hominidae. The record is from RNAcentral.